CCUAGGGGUGGCAGCAGUGAGGAAUAUUGGUCAAUGGACGAGAGUCUGAACCAGCCAAGUAGCGUGAAGGCUGACUGCCCUAUGGGUUGUAAACUUCUUUUAUAUGGGAAUAAAACGUACCACGUGUGGGAUUUUGUAUGUACCAUAUGAAUAAGGAUCGGCUAACUCCGUGCCAGCAGCCGCGGUAAUACGGAGGAUCCGAGCGUUAUCCGGAUUUAUUGGGUUUAAAGGGUGCGCAGGCGGAAUGUCAAGUCAGCGGUAAAAUUUCGGGGCUCAACCCCGUCGUGCCGUUGAAACUGGCGUUCUUGAGUGAGCGAGAAGUAUGCGGAAUGCGUGGUGUAGCGGUGAAAUGCAUAGAUAUCACGCAGAACUCCGAUUGCGAAGGCAGCAUACCGGCGCUCAACUGACGCUCAUGCACGAAAGCGUGGGUAUCGAACAGGAUUAGAUACCCCAGUAGUC
Molecule: ribosomal RNA, 459 nt
Filed under: uncultured bacterium
Lineage: Bacteria
Description: partial 16S ribosomal RNA
Rfam family: Bacterial small subunit ribosomal RNA
Source: RNAcentral